UACGGAGGGGGCCAGCGUUGUUCGGAAUCAUUGGGCGUAAAGGGCGCGUAGGCGGCUUUGUAAGUCCGUUGUGAAAUCCCUCGGCUCAACCGAGGAACUGCGACGGAUACUGCUCGGCUUGAGUCCCGGAGAGGGUAGCGGAAUUCCCAGUGUAGCGGUGAAAUGCGUAGAUAUUGGGAGGAACAUCGGUGGCGAAGGCGGCUACCUGGACGGGUACUGACGCUGAUGCGCGAAAGCUAGGGGAGCAAACAGG
RNAcentral lists this ribosomal RNA (253 nucleotides) under uncultured bacterium. RNAcentral describes it as "partial 16S ribosomal RNA". It matches the Rfam family "Bacterial small subunit ribosomal RNA", at positions 524 to 776 of the family's 1533-position model. The record is from RNAcentral. RNAcentral also lists the same sequence under 1 other name.